RNAcentral lists this ribosomal RNA (180 nucleotides) under uncultured bacterium. RNAcentral's name for it is "partial 16S ribosomal RNA". It matches the Rfam family "Bacterial small subunit ribosomal RNA", at positions 337 to 508 of the family's 1533-position model. The record is from RNAcentral.
UCCUACGGGAGGCAGCAGUGGGGAAUCUUCCGCAAUGGGCGCAAGCCUGACGGAGCAAACGCCGCGUGAGUGAAGAAGGGUUUCGACUCGUAAAGCUCUGUUGUCGGGGACGAAUGUGGAGAUGGUGAAUAACCAUUUUCAAUGACGGUACCUGAGAGGAAGCCACGGCUAACUACGUGC